GAAAUAAAAAAGAAAAGGAAAUAAGCCAAACCUAGGUCUUCAGCAGGGAAAGAGAAGACAAAGUGACAGUGCAGCAGCACAAGCUUCGUGGGGCAAAUGACAGAGAUGCCGUGGAGGUAAGGCAGUCAGCAUAUCUAGACACCGCACAAGCCGUGGAGCUAACAGCCACACACUCUAUGGCAGGUACUGGAGUGCUUGACAGCUUCAUACCACAGACCAGCAGAUGCCUCCCGCUGCGCUAGUUUCAGGAAUUCACUGCAUCUGAUAACAUUUUGCCUGUUACAUAUACAAUUAUUUGGUAAAUGAAAGAUCAUUGGCUGGCAUUAUUGAUACACAAACUGAUACUGUGUCAAGCCUCAAAACAGGAAACGGCUUAUAAAAACACAGGAUUGUACAAAGCAAAUCCACUGAAUGAAUGUGCUCACGGAUUAGGGACCAGAGCCAUCUCUUAUUAGUCAUUAGGUUUUCAAUAAGAAAAGUCACUCAACUUUCAGGAACAAACGCAGGAAGAUUAGAUUAAAUCAGUUCAGCUUCUCUGCUCAAAGCAUGAAUAACACUUGUUAAAGGGCAAGAACACAAAAUAGGCAGAAGUCUCCCGCAAAGAAUCAGUGCCCAAGCUCAGUUUAGCGAUGGUGAAACUUCUCAGCCCUUACAAUCUUAUCAAAGGAGCUGACACUGUCUGUUCUCCACAUAGACCUAACACUGCUAACGACAGGAUUGCAAACAGGAGUCCAGCACAGUGCACCAGCCACCAGCAAAACAUCUGGUGCCUAAUAUGCUCUCAUUUAAAAAAAAAAAAAGUUAAAUGAAAUGAAACACAUUACUGAAAUAUUUUAAAAACAAUCAAAAUAUCAGUUGAACUACCCCUAUUAAGGCCCUCUUCAACUCUAAGAGCUACCUCUAUUUCUUUCAUUUGUUCCCCAGGACAGAAAGCACGUGGGGACCUGGCACUGUGUGAAGUGCUUUAUCAGCAAGAUCUCAUUCACUUCUCAAUUUCCAGGGAGGUUUUUACAGAAGAGGAAACCGUGACCCAGGAAGUAAGGUAACUGUUAAGCAGCAGCAGCAACAAGGGGGCAACAGCAACUAGAGCAGCUGUGGAGGUGGCCACGGGAAGACCAGCGCCAGACAUCAUGGAUUUGGGCGCUGCCCACCUGCAGGCUCACGGUGCCUUGUCUGAUACUCUCUAUGACCCUGAGAACUAAGUGUCUUGUCUCCACGCGACCUCAGGAACUCCAGCUGCAGGACCCAAAAUCUGCUCCUCCCAGAGCUCCCAACUCUUGUUAAGACUCAAGAUAAAAAUACACGAAGGAGUGGAAUAUACUGCAGCAACAACAAAAACCUUCAUCCACUGAAAAUGAUGACAGUUUAACAAAGCACAUACACUGUGUCAGACCUAAACCAUAGAUUCUAAAGUGGCACUAAAAACAGAGAUCACUACUGCUGGACAUAACCUAUAAGGAGACUGAAGGGGUGCCACGUGUUAGACUGCCAAGCAGCAGUCACGCUAGUUGAUUCUAAGAGCCGCCUCCAGUGAAACUUACCGAAACCAAAAAAGACUCAUUCAGAGUUUCCAAAAUCAGAGCAUCAUCGUUUCUACAUUUGAAGCAUGACUAAGGUAAAAAGUUUUCCCCUAAAUUAUGACAAGAAGGUGGAUAAGAAUUCAGUGGCUUUUGGGAGACGAGGGGUGACCCCAAAGAGCUUGUGACAAAUGGGGAAGCCCUCCUACAGCGUAACCAACCUCUCCUUAGUGACUCUCAGGCUCAGGUUAAUGGCUGCUAUGUUUCAAGUGCUACUUCUAUGAAAGACUGAACAGGGGGUGGGGGGCUUUAUCAACAAUUACAACUUGCUCCACGUACUUCUCACAUUUUCUCUGGCGGUCCCUUCCAGGUCUGUCAGCUGCCAUCCAGCAGUUGUGCAAGUUGAAAGAAGCUAAAUGGUGCUGCUCUGGGAGGGAGACUGCAGGUUUAAACUAGUGUUAGGGCAGAUUACACACAACUGUCCCUCCACACAGUCUGGACCAGGACUAAAGCCACAGACAGCCCCUAUUAUCACAGACUCUUUUAUAAAAGUCUAAAGACUCUGCCUCUAACGUUGAGGUUACAGUCCCUCUUUGCUGGCUCACUGUGCUUGCAUCUUCCGUUACUAGUUUAUCUCAGAGGUCUAAACUUUCAAAAUACAUUUUUGGAAGAAAACAGUCCUUUGGUUUAUAGCAGAAACUUGUAUGACCUCCUUAUUCUGCCUCUAGGAAAUCUAUUCUUUUUUCUUCUGCACUUCUCCUUUGAUGCUUUUGGAAACCUCUCUUUACCGUUACCUCAUCUCUCAUGUUUAUCCUCAAAAGCCUGCAUGCUCUUCAUAAUGCUAUUUUACUGGUAUUAUAAACAUACCUAGAAGCAAAACGUCCAUUAACUUUGUCUUAUCUCAUUUAGAGAUGCACUACAUGUUAGCAUGUUGAACGCAAUCUCAAUUUGGAUCCCUAGAAACUGCUUCAUCUACUGUCUUCUGAGAAAUCACUGAAAAUACUAAAGCCCCCACUUUCAUUUAAAAGCUGUUACUCCUCCCCGGGGUUUGAAUCCAGAAACACACGUUGAAGAGACAAACAUUGUGCUGUAGUAAUACUACACACACUUCAAAGACCGUAUUUACCCACAGUGGAUGGAAGGUCCUCUGAGGAAAAGGAGAGAUUGAGACCCCUGACACUUGGUUUAGCUGAGUAACUCAACCAAAGGACAUCUCACUAAGAGAGACAGGAACGGGCACAUUUUCAGUGCCAACAUGAGAAUACGGCAAGGUGAAUGAGCUUACUCCCUGUUGGAAUGAUGUCAUCUAGGAGUGGCUCUGUACUUGAUUCUGCUGGUACAGAAAAACACGUGGUCCAUACACCCCCAAGAUCAUGGUGCCACAGGAAAGAGCACCCACGCUGUAGGAGAGGGAAAGGCCACAGCUGGAGUGUUAGGCAAAGCUGCUGCACCUGAACACUGGGUGAGGAAUGUCCACCCACCAUCAAUGCCCUCACUCAAUGACUUAUUUACAGUGUGCCUACGUUGUGCCAGGGGCUGAGGAAAUUGACAGCAGACAAAAACAGGCACUGUCGCUACUCUCAAAGAGCUCAGUCUGGAACUCUCUUAAAAGAUUAGAAAUCCAAGAGUUAAAGGGAAUUAAUUAAAGAGGGCACUCUACUUUGGGAGAAAGUCCAAAAGAUCAAUCACUAAUCUUUUAGAGAAGCACAAGUCCCAGGCAGACCAUAAGCUCAAAGCCACCUCCUAGCUCUUUCUUUUUCUCUCCACUUUCUCAACUUUGUCAGUGCUCCCCAAGGCCAAAGGCGACUGAGUCCGAAGAUUUCUUCUUUUGGAGUUCUUCUGUGGAAUAUUCAUUCCAGCUCACGGAAUAAUCUUUGGCAUAAUCCAUGCCCUCCCUCUUCCCACCCCAAUGCUUGCAGUCUGCUUCUUCACAGUAUGUGAGAUAGAAAUGAUGUGAGGGAUCUUGGAUUAAAAUGGGAAUGUUCCUUUAACAUAUUUUCAAAAAACUUUUGAGAUGGAUUUGGGUCUCAGCAUUAUUGUGUUCCAAAAAUUAUAAAGGAAAUUUUAUGAGUUCGACUUUAUCUUUGAAUUUCACUAAAUAAUUGGAAGGCUGGGUGAUCUUCAUUAUAUUGGGCUUUUGGGGGCCUCUAGGCCAUGGUUAGGCUGUAUUUUAAACAGGGCUAAGGAUUCAGACCACAAGGCCCAAAUGUUUGGAGCUGAAUCUCAGGUUCAAUGUACAAAUUUCAACACUCCACUCUAUCUUAGUCUCAAUUGCAUAUAUCAACACUUGUAGAUAAUUUCAGUCUUCAGUUCAAAAGAAAAAGCCAUGUAGGCAGAUAUGCACAUAAAUUACAAACAAAAGAUAUAAUGAUGAGACCAACACAUGUAAGAUAAAUAUGUAGCUAUUUGUUCACAAAAUGUUAAUGACAAAAAAAAAAAUUCCUCCUUGGAAUUCCUUAGAGUUGAAAAUUUAAAGGUAGUUGAAAGACAAAGCAGACGUUAUUUAGCAGAUCAAUUCCCAACAAUUCCCUGAGAGGACUGUGUAUCAAAAUGGCACUACUGGAAAAGGUAGUGACAUACCUUUUAAUAUGCAGUGCUGUAGGUGCUAUGCAUAAAAUAAGAAGCAAUGUGUAGGCAGUAGCAGUUGAAUUGUUGAUGCACUCAAACAGUUGCCUUGAAGAAUAAUAAAACUGAGCAUGAAAUGAAAGGUUCAUGCAGGUCUAUGAGCAAAACAAAAACAGAAACCCAGAAACCAGCCCCACUCCCCAGUC
Equus caballus (horse) is the source of this 4288-nucleotide non-coding RNA. The record is from RefSeq and is a predicted model, not a curated record. NCBI's taxonomy places the organism in Eukaryota, Metazoa, Chordata, Mammalia, Perissodactyla, Equidae.